GAGGAGUUAGUUAAACUAUAACAUCACCUUGUCAAGAUGAAGUAAUGGGUUAAAACCCCAUACACCUCU
Molecule: transfer RNA, 69 nt
Filed under: Hyla chinensis (Chinese tree toad)
Lineage: Eukaryota; Metazoa; Chordata; Amphibia; Anura; Hylidae
Also listed under: 1 other name
Description: tRNA-Asp
Rfam family: tRNA
About the family: Transfer RNA (tRNA) molecules are approximately 80 nucleotides in length.
Source: RNAcentral